This 191-nucleotide non-coding RNA is filed under the name Photobacterium marinum. Its description in RNAcentral is "Lysine sequence". It matches the Rfam family "Lysine riboswitch aptamer". From Rfam's summary of the family: Riboswitches are metabolite binding domains within certain messenger RNAs that serve as precision sensors for their corresponding targets. Allosteric rearrangement of mRNA structure is mediated by ligand binding, and this results in modulation of gene expression. This family includes riboswitches that sense lysine in a number of genes involved in lysine metabolism, including lysC. Lineage: Bacteria; Pseudomonadati; Pseudomonadota; Gammaproteobacteria; Vibrionales; Vibrionaceae. The record is from RNAcentral.
AAAAACAGAAGAGGUGCGUUACCCAGGUAUCUAUGGUUGCGGGGCCCCACCCCAAUGCAGCCUUGAGAGGGGGUGUAACGCCGAGAUAUGACAUGACAGGGGGCAUGGCAUAUCGGCUUAGAAGGUUGAAUCCUUCUGGCUGUCACCUUACCGGGCAUAAUGGUUCCGGUAGGUGGAGGGCUUCUGGUUGU